ACAAAGCACAAUAGCAGUAGAUUGACACCCCAAACGACAUCGGACAACAUAUAGAAAAUAAUAAGAAGGGAGCCCAAUUUUCGUUCCCUCUUUCAUAACCGGAGUGGGAGUCACCAGUUUUCCAGGAACAAGAAUUAGGGUUUUUAUUUCUGUAACAGAGAACAGCUGAAAACGACGAAGUAUCUGCUAACUCAAUACCCUAACUCACCACCCUCAACUUCUUCACUCCAAUCGGGAAGCCUUUGACGGAAGCACCGUUUCUUCUGCAUCAGUAGCGGAGCGAACCACUUCGGAAUCUGAGGUUAAAUAUCAGGUUGUAAUGGUCUUCUUACAUAUUUGAUGCUGAUUGAUGGAUCCUGAUAGCAAGAAGUUUGGAAGAGGACCUAGAGAACUUACAGGUGCUGUGGAUCUUAUAAGCCACUACAAACUGUUGCCUCACCACGAAUUCUUCUGUAAGAAGUCACUACCCUUGUCUAUCUCCGAUACACACUAUCUUCAUAAUGUGGUGGGAGACACAGAAAUUAGGAAAGGUGAAGGUAUGCAAUUGGAUCAGCUCAUUAAGGACACUUCCUUUUCAAGAGAGACAAAUGCACGCAUACAGCCAUUUGACCUAGAUGUUCUGAGAGAAGCCUUCCAAUUAAGGGAGACUGCACCAGUUGAUCUGCCUCCUUCUGAGAAGGGUAUUCCUACCAUAGCUGCAAAAUCAAAAAGCGAGUCUAAAGACAAGGAAAAGAAGCAUAAAAAGCACAAGGACAAGGACAAGGACAAGGAUAAAGAACACAAGAAGCACAAACAUCGUCAUAAAGAUCGGAGUAAAGAUAAAGACAAGGAGAAAAAGAAAGAUAGAAGUGGCCAUCAUGAUUCUGGUGCUGAGCACUCAAAGAAACAUCAUGAAAAGAAAAGGAAGCAUGAUGGGGAUGAAGAUCUCAGUGAUGUUCACAAGCACAAGAAAAGUAAGCAUAAGAGCUCAAAGAUUGAUGAGAUGGGUGCGAUAAAGGUAGCAGGCUAAUUAAAGGCAGACAGUUCUUUGUAAUUUUUUAGUCCUCUGAUGUUGCAGUUGAGAAUUUGGAGGAGUCCUUUACUUACUAUUGUUCAAGUCCAUAUAUCUGAGAAGUCUCUGGAUUAACCAAAAGAGUGCCCAGAAGGUGAAUUCACCUGUUGACGUAAAUUUUUUUGAAGGGUUCAAAAUGCUGGAAAUCAUCAGUGUAUAUUCGUAUAUUGACAGUGAUGUUGAAUGUUUUGAGUCUGUCUUACUUAAUGUGCAUCUAGAUGUGUCAGGUGGUGUAUACUUUCUUUCCUUUGUUGCCCUGGUGUUUUGUUUCCUUCAAAGAGUCCGAUCAAGUUUUACAAGUAGUCAUAGCCAAGUUGCAGUUCUCGGUAGUAAAGAAUGAAUAGGCUGAGAUAGGUGAAUGUGUAUUCUAAUUUCAUUCCCAUUUUGUUCAGAGAGGAGGGCGGACAUCUUUUAUUCUGUGUAGGAGAACUUGUCUCUUUCAAAGGAAUUAAUUUUCUGUAUAAUGGAAUAAUUGAUGGCUUAUUCAUCAGGGCUAGACAUUUCAUUGUAAAUAUCAGAAUAUAGCUUGAAUUGAUACUAUUUUGAGUCAUUAUAUCUAAUAUUCUUUGGAGGUAGCAAUAUGUUACUUAUUUGCUUA
Molecule: RNA transcript, 1649 nt
Organism: Coffea eugenioides
Lineage: Eukaryota; Viridiplantae; Streptophyta; Magnoliopsida; Gentianales; Rubiaceae
Gene name: mediator of RNA polymerase II transcription subunit 19a-like
Exons: 7
Source: RefSeq, a predicted model, not a curated record